UACAGAGGUCUCAAGCGUUGUUCGGAUUCAUUGGGCGUAAAGGGUGCGUAGGUGGCGCGGUAAGUCGGGUGUGAAAUCUCGGAGCUUAACUCCGAAACUGCACUUGAUACUGCCUCGCUUGAGUACUGGAGAGGAGACUGGAAUUUACGGUGUAGCAGUGAAAUGCGUAGAUAUCGUAAGGAAGACCAGUGGCGAAGGCGAGUCUCUGGACAGUUACUGACGCUGAGGCACGAAGGCCAGGGGAGCAAACGGG
RNAcentral lists this ribosomal RNA (253 nucleotides) under uncultured bacterium. RNAcentral's name for it is "partial 16S ribosomal RNA". It matches the Rfam family "Bacterial small subunit ribosomal RNA", at positions 524 to 776 of the family's 1533-position model. The record is from RNAcentral.